Molecule: ribosomal RNA, 483 nt
Filed under: uncultured Campylobacterota bacterium
Lineage: Bacteria; Pseudomonadati; Campylobacterota
Description: bacterial SSU rRNA
Rfam family: Bacterial small subunit ribosomal RNA
Source: RNAcentral
CUUGCUAGGUGGAUUAGUGGCGCACGGGUGAGUAAUAUAUAGAUAACGUGCCUCUUAGUCUGGGAUAGCCAUUGGAAACGAUGAUUAAUACUAGAUACUCCUUCUAACUCUAAUGUUAGUUGGGAAAGUUUUUCGCUAAGAGAUCGGUCUAUAUCCCAUCAGCUAGUUGGUAGUGUAAGAGACUACCAAGGCAAUGACGGGUAGCGGGUUUGAGAGGAUGAUCCGCCACACUGGUACUGAGACACGGACCAGACUCCUACGGGAGGCAGCAGUGAGGAAUAUUGCACAAUGGAGGAAACUCUGAUGCAGCAACGCCGCGUGGAGGAUGACGCAUUUCGGUGUGUAAACUCCUUUUAUAUGUCAAGAAAAUGACGGUAGCAUAUGAAUAAGCACCGGCUAACUCCGUGCCAGCAGCCGCGGUAAUACGGAGGGUGCAAGCGUUAUUCGGAAUCACUGGGCGUAAAGGACGCGUAGGCGGGAUGC